UUGAAUCCCAUGUCGGACCGAGCCGCUGCAAGCUUUGGGCCGUCAGAAGAUGCUGAUGAGAUCUACGGCGACCAAACCAGAGGAGCAGUAAACAGUGAGAGCAUGUUCAGAACUGUGGACGUCCAAAAUCAGAAGUGCUGUGAGGAACCGGGACCUCUAGGAUGCUGAGGAGCCUCCUAGUCCCUACCUGAGGACGGCACAGAGGAAAACACCUGCAGAGAAGCAGGUUGAAUAUGGAAGCAGCGUUCUAUCAGUCGGAUCUCAGUGGAACAGAGUCCAUCCACACAUGUCUGGAGG
Molecule: long non-coding RNA, 297 nt
Organism: Cyprinodon tularosa
Lineage: Eukaryota; Metazoa; Chordata; Actinopteri; Cyprinodontiformes; Cyprinodontidae
Exons: 3
Source: RefSeq, a predicted model, not a curated record